Molecule: long non-coding RNA, 1001 nt
Filed under: Capsicum annuum
Lineage: Eukaryota; Viridiplantae; Streptophyta; Magnoliopsida; Solanales; Solanaceae
Description: long non-coding RNA (CANN_LNC021724)
Source: RNAcentral
UGCUUUUCCAAUGUCUCAAGACUUCAUCACGAACGUCUUUCACCAACAUAAUACAUCAGGGCAUUCCUCGGUGAAUAAAUACAAUGUGUCUUGGGGCAUUCCCCGACUCCAAAUGCAAGAAAGACAAACCAUUUCACAAACAUUCCAAAUACUCAUUUAAACAUUCAACGCAUUCCAUCAACACACCACUCCUAAAUUUUAACUACCCGGACCUAAACAUUUUACCUAUCCAAUGCGACCUAUCAUGAUACUAUAGAAUUCACAAACUUGAUUCUGAAUUAAGCAAAAUAACAAUGAACCAACACUAAACCAAAUUUACCCUUUUUAUCAAUCUCGCAAUUCCACCCCAAAUUCUCUUCUUAACACUAAAUUUCCACAAUUCACGAUUUCUAUUUCAACAAUCCACAAUCCCUUUUCAAUGAAAAUUAAGCAACAAGUCAAUAUCAAAGUAGCAAUUCAUCAACAAUCAAGAUCAAACAACACACGAGAUUCCAUCCAAUGCACCAUAUUCCAUCAAUAAUGAAACAAAAAGAGAAAAGAAGUAAAAAUAGACCUCAAUGAUGAUUUUAUUUAAAAUAUCAGUCAAUAAAAAAAAUGACUCCAUGUGUCGAAGAAUACCACAAAUCGACUACAAACCAACUCCAACACGACAAUCUUCGAAACCUGAUCCAAAACAAAACCCACAAAGGCCAGUCAGCAAAUCUCAGCUUGGUAUCAAGAAAACUGUGACCCAAGACAGACCAUGAUGAACCCACCGAGUCUCUCUAGUCACCUCACUCCUUGAUUUCCCUAUAUCAGUGUAUGUGUCCCCAGAUAUCGUGAGGUUGGCGAGUAUAUCCGUGAGCCAGAAGAAAUGAAAAAUGAUUAUGGUGUUUUCCUUUUUUUGUGAGUGGAAGAAUGAAGUGUCUUGUUGUGAUGGUAUAACGUGGAGAAGAUGAUGUUGAUUUUGUCCCCCCUCCGUAUUGUUACUUUGAGUGUAUAUAUGUAUUGGGGAAUUCCCU